CCUACGGGAGGCAGCAGUAGGGAAUCUUCCACAAUGGACGAAAGGCUGAUGGAGCAACGCCGCGUGAGUGAAGAAGGGUUUCGGCUCGUAAAGCUCUGGUGGUAGUGAAGAAAGAUAGAGGUAGUAACUGGCAUUAAUUUGACGGUAAUUACUUAGAAAGUCACGGCUAACUACGUGCAAGCAGCCGCGGUAAUACGGAGGGGGCAAGCGUUUUCCUGAUUUAUUGGGCGUAAAGCGCGUGCAGGCGGUUCAAUAAGUCUGAUGUGAAAGCCUUCGGCUCAACCGGAGAAUUGCAUCAGAAGCUGUUUAACUUGAGUGCAGAAGAGGAGAGUUGAACUCCAUGUGUAGCGGUGGAAUGCGUAGAUAUAUGGAAGCACACCAGUGGCGAAGGCGGCUCUCUGGUCUGCAACUGACGCUGAGGCUCGAAAGCAUGGGUAGCGAACAGGAUUAGAUACCCUUGUAGUC
This 465-nucleotide ribosomal RNA is filed under the name uncultured bacterium. Its description in RNAcentral is "partial 16S ribosomal RNA". It matches the Rfam family "Bacterial small subunit ribosomal RNA", at positions 338 to 795 of the family's 1533-position model. The record is from RNAcentral.